UCAUGACCUGAGCCGAAGUCCGAUGCUCAAUCGACUGAGCCACCCAGAUGCCCCUAAAGACAACUUUAAAGUUGUAAAAAGACAACCCCUGAGAGAUCACGGAGGCGGCAACAGCAGGAGGCAACUAUAGCUCGUAGGGCUAGGAGAACAAAGGGGAGCAUUUGGAAUCACUCAAACUUAGCAACUUAGAAGAGGGGCUCCACAGGGCUGACACUCAGACCCCUAUGUCUAAUGCUGGUGUCUGGUGUCUCUGCGCAUGGAGGAGGGACCGACGCCGCUGAGGAAGGAGUGCCACCCGGCUGGCGCUGGUGUCUCUGACUGGGACACCGUGAAGCUGGUUCUGAAAUCGUUGGGGAAAAUCUGCAAAGUGGAUUCAGCUGCUGCUACGGGAAGGCACUGCUGCCACCCAGGUGAAGGGGCGUCGCUACAGUGACCUCACAGGAAAAGGAAGCAAACAGGAGGGCGCUUCUCUUCCUCCUCUGGACUCACUGGCUCCCUCUAGUGGCCCUUAUUGGCAGAGCCAAAUACAGAGCCCGCUGACAGAGCAGAAAUGUGAUUUGCAGAGCCCCGGCUCCAUGAUCUCAUAAUAGAAAGCAGAGGGUGGGUUUAGAGCUGCGAGACAGCAACUCACUAACUAGCCCGAGCGCUUUUAUAAAGUAUUAGAAGAAAGAGGUGAAGUUAGGUGAGAAUUCGCUGGUUUUCAAGCAGAGAUGGAAGGGAAAUAGAGACAGUCCAGAGCAGGAAGUAGACUGUGAAACCUGCACAUUCUCCAAGGAGGUCAUACUGCCCAAAGCCCAUCUCAGAUGCGGUGCUAAAGGAUAAUCAAUGAGCCAGAGGGCACAGCCAGGAGGCAUGGAGAACAAUGGACAAAGAAGUCCCUCCUGGAACAAAUCAGGGUCUAAUCAAGGAGUGUCUCCAGCCCCAGGGAAGAGGACUUUGAUAAUCUGACCAGUGGAGAUUCAGAACUGCUUUGGAUCAGAGACUGUGACACAUCUUCAAUUCUUUCCUUUUCUAAAUAGAUAUUUCUAUGGACGU
This is a long non-coding RNA of Felis catus (domestic cat), 1035 nucleotides long. RefSeq lists it as uncharacterized. The transcript is spliced from 2 exons. Lineage: Eukaryota; Metazoa; Chordata; Mammalia; Carnivora; Felidae. The record is from RefSeq and is a predicted model, not a curated record.